RNAcentral lists this transfer RNA (59 nucleotides) under Marmota vancouverensis (Vancouver Island marmot). RNAcentral describes it as "tRNA-Ser". Lineage: Eukaryota; Metazoa; Chordata; Mammalia; Rodentia; Sciuridae. The record is from RNAcentral.
AAGAAAGCAUGCAAGAACUGCUAACUCAUGCUACCGUGAUUAAACCCACGGCUUUCUUA